UCAGGGACCAAACCAUCUCGACGAUUAGGUCAACUCUUAACCUAAUCGGAUCAAACCCAACUGAAUCCAAUUCAAUUAGACUUGAUCCAAAAAUAAUUACUCAAUCAAAUUGAGUUAAUUAGCGAUCAAAUCACUAAUUAAAUCUCUCAUAAAUACUGAGUCUAAAUCCGAUGGGCAAUCAGGCAUCAAAAUUCAUCGAUAUGUAAUCCUGAUCGAAAAGUCCCAACCAGUGGGACUCUUGACCCCGGUACCCAUAAUAUGUGAAACUCAUGAUCAGAGAAUCCUGAU
RNAcentral lists this long non-coding RNA (288 nucleotides) under Elaeis guineensis (African oil palm). Its description in RNAcentral is "long non-coding RNA (EGUI_LNC037779)". Lineage: Eukaryota; Viridiplantae; Streptophyta; Magnoliopsida; Arecales; Arecaceae. The record is from RNAcentral.